UGAUAACAUUUGAGUGAGUGGCGGACGGGUGAGUAACACGUGGGUAACCUGCCCUAAAGUGGGGGAUAACAUUUGGAAACAGAUGCUAAUACCGCAUAAAACCUAGCACCGCAUGGUGCAAGGUUGAAAGAUGGUUUCGGCUAUCACUUUAGGAUGGACCCGCGGUGCAUUAGUUAGUUGGUGAGGUAAAGGCUCACCAAGACCGUGAUGCAUAGCCGACCUGAGAGGGUAAUCGGCCACACUGGGACUGAGACACGGCCCAGACUCCUACGGGAGGCAGCAGUAGGGAAUCUUCCACAAUGGACGAAAGUCUGAUGGAGCAACGCCGCGUGAGUGAAGAAGGUUUUCGGAUCGUAAAACUCUGUUGUUGGAGAAGAACGUAUUUGAUAGUAACUGAUCAGGUAGUGACGGUAUCCAACCAGAAAGCCACGGCUAACUACGUGCCAGCAGCCGCGGUAAUACGUAGGUGGCAAGCGUUGUCCGGAUUUAUUGGGCGUAAAGCGAGCGCAGGCGGUUUCUUAAGUCUGAUGUGAAAGCCUUCGGCUCAACCGAAGAAGUGCAUCGGAAACUGGGAAACUUGAGUGCAGAAGAGGACAGUGGAACUCCAUGUGUAGCGGUGAAAUGCGUAGAUAUAUGGAAGAACACCAGUGGCGAAGGCGGCUGUCUGGUCUGUAACUGACGCUGAGGCUCGAAAGCAUGGGUAGCAAACAGGAUUAGAUACCCUGGUAGUCCAUGCCGUAAACGAUGAGUGCUAGGUGUUGGAGGGUUUCCGCCCUUCAGUGCCGCAGCUAACGCAUUAAGCACUCCGCCUGGAGAGUACGACCGCAAGGUUGAAACUCAAAGGAAUUGACGGGGGCCCGCACAAGCGGUGGAGCAUGUGGUUUAAUUCGAAGCAACGCGAAGAACCUUACCAGGUCUUGACAUCCUUUGACCACUCUAGAGAUAGAGCUUUCCCUUCGGGGACAAAGUGACAGGUGGUGCAUGGUUGUCGUCAGCUCGUGUCGUGAGAUGUUGGGUUAAGUCCCGCAACGAGCGCACCCUUAUUACUAGUUGCCAGCAUUUAGUUGGGCACUCUAGUGAGACUGCCGGUGACAAACCGGAGGAAGGUGGGGACGACGUCAAUCAUCAUGCCCCUUAUGACCUGGGCUACCAC
RNAcentral lists this ribosomal RNA (1153 nucleotides) under Latilactobacillus curvatus. RNAcentral describes it as "bacterial SSU rRNA". It matches the Rfam family "Bacterial small subunit ribosomal RNA", at positions 77 to 1221 of the family's 1533-position model. Lineage: Bacteria; Bacillati; Bacillota; Bacilli; Lactobacillales; Lactobacillaceae. The record is from RNAcentral.